RNAcentral lists this long non-coding RNA (688 nucleotides) under Homo sapiens (human). RNAcentral's name for it is "HSALNT0325725". Lineage: Eukaryota; Metazoa; Chordata; Mammalia; Primates; Hominidae. The record is from RNAcentral.
CACAAGAGUAAGAGGCUAGUGAAAUACUCUGAGGAAAAUCCCUCAGUUUGAGUACCAGAGAGCUACAUUGCUGAAGGAAGAGGACAAUUGUAUGUCAAAGACAUUAGAGGAGUUAAAUAUUUCUCCCACAUCACCAACGGGGUCAGGCAUUCAAUAGAUUCACGGGUCAUCGCUCCAAGUCUGGAUACUCCAAUGAUUUGCAGAAUCUGAUGAUGCACCACAUGCAAGGACCAGGGUGUAACUUCCCAGCAGCUAUAAAGGGAAACUGAUAUGACACAAAAUUGCAGAAACAUCAACUCCCUGAUGAUCAUACUGACCGAUAGAGGUAGGAGAUAGAAAGAAACUUUAAAAAGUAUCUUCUUCAUUCUGCUCUCCAAAGAAAAGGGGCACACCUUGUUUCUCUGCUUUUGACCAAAGACAACCAGCUUGGCUGAAGAGUACUGCUACGUCUCUUUCUGAAGCAGUGGUUACCUGGAAUGCAACAUGUACCACUGCUCCCUAUCCAUCCCUGACUCAUAUCCUUUGUCUAAGACAGUCACUGCUCUAGGUUUGCAACUCUCAAGAAAGCAUUACCACUUGAGCUUUUCUUUAGGGUCAAAAACAGUGUGAUUUGGAGUUCAUUUGAUAGUUUCUGUGUUUUUGUGUGUCUCCCCUUUUCUGAUUAUUUUAGAUAUGUAGCCUAUUUUAA